GCCGUUUCUUCCCUUGCCGAGCCAUCCCGACGCCGCAUUCCUUCUUCCUCCUUGCCCUAACCGCCGGCGGCGGUUACUUCUCCUCAAGGGUACAGCCUCUCGGCUACCCCCUCUUCAUCUCCUCUUCUCGGUGAAGCCGACACCCUGUUUUCCUCUGCCCUAGCCAGCCCGACGCCACCGCCGGCUGCAACUCACAGAGUCGACCAAUUCUCUCCUCUGCCGACGCCGACCACCUUUUGCUGCCCUAGCGCCGGUUCACUAGCAUUUAGUGGCGAGCCUUUCUUCCAUCUCGCUACUGCCUCCACAUUUUUCUUCCUCACUGUGGUCACGCCUCCUGUGCCCUACCUCCGAACCUUGCUUCCUUCUCAGAGCAGAAGUGGUUCGGCAGUGUGACAGCAAGUAGGAAAAAUCUGCAAGGUGUUGUUCUAGGCCUUUUCUUGGGUCAGGUGAUCACCAUCCAGCGACUACCUUUCUCCGGCAGCAAUACCCCUGUUGAAAAUUGUUUACCUUGAAUUUCAGUAGCCGGCAGUCCUAUUCCAGCAGCAACAAACUGUGUGGGGAUCAACAAUCAAGGCUGUGGAUUGAGGACCUUGACGCGAGACGAGUAUCUCGGAGUCAGAUUGGACCUUUCUAUUUUCGG
Long non-coding RNA from Zingiber officinale, 640 nucleotides. RefSeq lists it as uncharacterized. The transcript has 4 exons. The record is from RefSeq and is a predicted model, not a curated record. Lineage: Eukaryota; Viridiplantae; Streptophyta; Magnoliopsida; Zingiberales; Zingiberaceae.